Molecule: transfer RNA, 73 nt
Filed under: bacterium
Lineage: Bacteria
Description: tRNA-Ala
Rfam family: tRNA
About the family: Transfer RNA (tRNA) molecules are approximately 80 nucleotides in length.
Source: RNAcentral
GGGCUUGUAGCUCACCUGGUAGAGCGCCUCAUUCGCAUUGAGGAGGUAAGGGGUUCGACUCCCCUCAAGUCCA